RNAcentral lists this ribosomal RNA (438 nucleotides) under uncultured bacterium. Its description in RNAcentral is "bacterial SSU rRNA". It matches the Rfam family "Bacterial small subunit ribosomal RNA", at positions 958 to 1397 of the family's 1533-position model. The record is from RNAcentral.
AACGCGAAGAACCUUACCUGGGCUUGAACCGCCGGCGACCAGCAGUGGAAACAUUGCCUUCCCGCAAGGGACGCCGGUAGAGGUGCUGCAUGGCUGUCGUCAGCUCGUGCCGUGAGGUGUUGGGUUAAGUCCCGCAACGAGCGCAACCCUUACUCUUAGUUGCCACCCGCAAGGGGGAACUCUAAGAGGACUGCUCCGGAUAACGGAGAGGAAGGUGGGGAUGACGUCAAGUCAGCACGGCCUUUAUGUCCAGGGCUACACACGUGUUACAAUGCAUGGUACAGACCGUCGCGAACCCGCGAGGGGGAGCUAAUCGGAAAAACCAUGCUCAGUUCGGACUGCAGUCUGCAACUCGACUGCACGAAGCCGGAAUCGCUAGUAAUGCCGUAUCAGAACGACGGCGUGAAUACGUUCCCGGGCCUUGUACACACCGAUAGC